Erinaceus europaeus (western European hedgehog) is the source of this 549-nucleotide long non-coding RNA. RefSeq lists it as uncharacterized. The record is from RefSeq and is a predicted model, not a curated record. Lineage: Eukaryota; Metazoa; Chordata; Mammalia; Eulipotyphla; Erinaceidae. The transcript has 3 exons.
GUUGGGUCACAGGAGCCUCAGGAUGGUGGGGGAGAUCCACAGAGAAAGGAAGCUCUAGAAAAACCCACUCAAGUUUGUAACUCACAACAAUCCUCCUGCAAGCAUGGUGAAGGUUGCUGAAGGUACUCUGCCAAGAGGACAUUCAAUUCCAGCUGAUGAUGGAAUGAAAGCAUACAUAUCACCAGGUUCCAGAUGCUACCAUGAUGCCAACCGGACUUCCCUGGACAGACAACCCCACCAAUGUAUACUGAAGCUCCGAUUCCCCAGAAGCCAGCCCCACUAGGGAAUGAGAGAGACAGGCUGGGAGUAUGGAUUGACCUGCCAACGCCCAUGUUCAGUGGGGAAGCAAUUACAGAAGCCAGACCUUCCACCUUCUGCAUCCCACAAUGAUCUUGGGUCCAUAUUCCCAGAGGGAUAAAGAAUAGGAAAGCUAUCAGGGGAGGGGAUUGGAUAUGGAGUUCUGGUGGUGGGAAUUAUGUGGAGUUGUACUCCUCUUAUCCUAUGGUUUUUGUCAGUGUUUCCUUUUUAUAAAUAAAAAUUUAAAAAAAA